GGGCUAGCGUUGUUCGGAAUUACUGGGCGUAAAGGGCGCGUAGUCGGCUUCGCUCGUCGGGUGUGAAAUGCCUGGGCUCAACCCAGGAACUGCACUCGAAACUCCGAGGCUAGAGUGUGGGAGAGGAUAGUGGAAUUCCCAGUGUAGAGGUGAAAUUCGUAGAUAUUGGGAAGAACACCGGUGGCGAAGGCGGCUAUCUGGACCACAACUGACGCUGAGGCGCGAAAGCUAGGGGAGCGAACAGG
This 245-nucleotide ribosomal RNA is filed under the name uncultured bacterium. RNAcentral describes it as "partial 16S ribosomal RNA". It matches the Rfam family "Bacterial small subunit ribosomal RNA", at positions 532 to 776 of the family's 1533-position model. The record is from RNAcentral.